RNAcentral lists this long non-coding RNA (839 nucleotides) under Homo sapiens (human). Its description in RNAcentral is "HSALNT0025909". The record is from RNAcentral. Lineage: Eukaryota; Metazoa; Chordata; Mammalia; Primates; Hominidae.
AAAAAGAAAGGCUUUCUGCAUCUACCAAAAUCUAGCAGAAGAGGUGUUCAACACGUAGCUGAUAACCUCCAGGAAUCAGUGAAGAAACCAGCAGCACCAAACGCUACGAGAGCCGGAGGACCAGAGGCUCGGCGAGACCAGGGAGGCUGCUCUGCCAGGUUGCUAUGGAAGCCAUCAAAGUUCCUUCAGCCCAGACCCAUGCACAGCCUUGGCCCAGGCUCUUGGCCACAUGCAAGGUGAGCUGGGCUCAACACCCCCUGCUCCUUGAUGGGCCUCAGAGAUGUCGCAGUGGAGUCCCCACUCUGCUGCCCAUUCCGGGGGUCAGUUAUGGGCCUGGCAUUUUUACCUGGAUUGUAACAACCCAAACGUAGAGACAAAAGCAAAAAGCCUCCCAAACUAAAUGUGUGGCCCAUGCCUGCGGAUGGGCACCCCAGAGACACUCUUAUCUCCAUCUUCUUGCAAAACCAUCUCCUAGAGAGGCAUCCUCACUUUCUUGGAGCCAGUUAAUGUAACAGGUAUGGCUCCUUUCACUCUCUGCAGCUCGGACUAAUGCAUUCCUGAGGGCCCACAGCAAGUCGGAAACCAAGCUCAGCACUAGGGAGAUGAGGAUGACCCAACAGCCUCUGCACCCCAGGGCUCGCGAUCUACUGGAAAGUGAUAGUAUUGUGAAAACUGCAUAAAAUAUGAACCAGGGAGUGAAAUAUUAGCAGAGGAGGUGAUAGCGCUCCAAGAAGAGAGAGCAGUGUAGGCAAGUUAGGAAACACAACUUCAACAUCGGACCUGUGUCUUGAAGAAUGAUUAAGCGUCUGUGGGUGCAGCACCCUGAAAGGACAACACGC